AAUCCCGGGGUAGCAAUACCUCGGGGGAAGUGGCGAAAGGGGCAGUAAUACAUGGAUAACCUACCCUGGGGAUGGGCAUAGCCGUUCUAACGAGCGGGUAAUACCCAGCGAUUCGGCGGCGGUGGCAUCAUCGCACCGGGAAAUGAAUUUCGCCUCGGGAGGGGUCCAUGCGAUAUCAGCUAGUUGGUGGGGUAACGGCCCACCAAGGCUUAGACGUCUAGCGGGUGUGAGAGCACGACCCGCGCCACUGGCACUGAGACACUGGCCAGACACCUACGGGUGGCUGCAGUCGAGGAUCUUCGUCAAUGGGCGCAAGCCUGAACGAGCGAUGCCGCGUGAGCGAUGAAGGCCUUCGGGUUGUAAAGCUCAAAAGGGGUGAGAAAGGGAAACUUGAUCGAACCCCAGUAAGCUCGGGCUAAGUUCGUGCCAGCAGCCGCGGUAAGACGAACCGAGCGAACGUUGUUCGGAAUCACUGGGCUUAAAGGGUGCGUAGGCGGGUGCUCAAGUCUGUGGUGAAAUCCUCCGGCUCAACCGGAGAACUGCCAUGGAUACUGGGUGCCUCGAGGGUGGUAGGGGUAUGCGGAACUAUCGGUGGAGCGGUGAAAUGCGUUGAUAUCGAUAGGAACUCCGGUGGCGAAGGCGGCAUACUGGACCACUUCUGACGCUGAGGCGCGAAAGCCAGGGGAGCGAACGGGAUUAGAUACCCCGGUAGUCCUGGCCCUAAACGAUGGGUACUAGCUAGUAGGGUUCACAUGGCUUUACUGGCGAAGCAAAAGUGCUAAGUACCCCGCCUGGGGAGUAUGGUCGCAAGGCUGAAACUCAAAGGAAUUGAC
This 833-nucleotide ribosomal RNA is filed under the name uncultured Planctomycetota bacterium. Its description in RNAcentral is "bacterial SSU rRNA". It matches the Rfam family "Bacterial small subunit ribosomal RNA", at positions 66 to 914 of the family's 1533-position model. Lineage: Bacteria; Pseudomonadati; Planctomycetota. The record is from RNAcentral.